This 324-nucleotide ribosomal RNA is filed under the name Cronobacter sakazakii. Its description in RNAcentral is "partial 23S ribosomal RNA". It matches the Rfam family "Bacterial large subunit ribosomal RNA", at positions 801 to 1123 of the family's 2925-position model. Lineage: Bacteria; Pseudomonadati; Pseudomonadota; Gammaproteobacteria; Enterobacterales; Enterobacteriaceae. The record is from RNAcentral.
CGGAUGACCUGUGGCUGGGGGUGAAAGGCCAAUCAAACCGGGAGAUAGCUGGUUCUCCCCGAAAGCUAUUUAGGUAGCGCCUCGUGAACUCAUCUCCGGGGUAGAGCACUGUUUCGGCUAGGGGGCCAUCCCGGCUUACCAACCCGAUGCAAACUGCGAAUACCGGAGAAUGUUAUCACGGGAGACACACGGCGGGUGCUAACGUCCGUCGUGAAGAGGGAAACAACCCAGACCGCCAGCUAAGGUCCCAAAGUCAUGGUUAAGUGGGAAACGAUGUGGGAAGGCCCAGACAGCCAGGAUGUUGGCUUAGAAGCAGCCAUCAUU